RNAcentral lists this transfer RNA (64 nucleotides) under Bdellocephala punctata. Its description in RNAcentral is "tRNA-Phe". Lineage: Eukaryota; Metazoa; Platyhelminthes; Tricladida; Dendrocoelidae. The record is from RNAcentral.
AACUUAAUAGCUUAUAAUUUAAAGUGGGGUUUUGAAGAAGCUUAGAAGAUUUUAUCUGUAGUUG